This is a long non-coding RNA of Aotus nancymaae (Ma's night monkey), 2264 nucleotides long. The record is from Ensembl. Lineage: Eukaryota; Metazoa; Chordata; Mammalia; Primates; Aotidae.
CAGGAUUACGGAAGGGGAAUCUUGGGUUAUAAGGAGAGGAAUGCAAGUUUUAAUUUCUUUUCCUCCUCCUUUUUGUUCUCCUUCUUUUUCUCUUCCUCGGUCUCCCUCUUAGAAUUCCUGAAGCAUUUGACAUUUUUCUUUGUUGAGCUUUCCUAUUACUCCCGUUCAUUUGAUGCAGUAAAGAGCAAGACAAGUAGAGAUCUAAGUACAGGCUAGAGCCAUGGUUCUCCCCUUCAUAUUCAGCAGAACCUCCUGGACAGUUUGUUUAAAUGUAGCUUCCGCUGUCCCUACCACAAAAGCUGUUGAUUUCCUAGGACCAAGCUGAGACUCAUGAAUCAGCGUUUCUAUCCAAAAAGGAUCCCAGGUGAUUCUAAUCCACGUGUUCUGAGGACACGGCUUUGAGAAACAGAGACCUGUGAGAAGAGACCAACUGCACCUGCACCUGCAUAUUUCAGAUGGAAACACUGGGAUAUGCUCAGUGGGACAAUCUAAGAAUCAUCUGAGACCAAGCUACAUGACAAAGCAGCACCAGUCCAAUCUCCUAAUUCACCCUGCUUACAGCAUUCCCCUUUGGAAUCUUAUCAUCAACUGUUGCCAACCUAAGCAAAGGCAGUUUCUUGAUGUCUCUUCAUCUGUUUCAAGCCCUCUGCUCCUGAGCCUCAGAAAUCAAAAGGGAACGUUCAGCCGCCACCUGCUGAUGAAUGCGUAAACAAAGGGGUAGUCAAGACUGAGGAGGACCAGCCUUUGAGGACAAUUCCUGCGUGGUGCUCCAGCUCAAAUAAGGGCACGGCUCCUAAGGAACAGGCUUGAGACACGCAUAAGUGCUGGGCCAAGUAGUUCAGGAGCCUGGCACAGCUGUUCCCAAUGUGCCCUUUACCUCCUGUUGCCUCUCAAAGCACAAUAGGGUGUGGAUGACCCUGUGCCCCUGCUCCCAGAAGAAACCGAGAAAGUUACAACUCAUUAACCUGUUAGUGUUGGAGCAGCACUUGCCACAUUAUUCUGAGAAGUCUCAGAUCCGUGAGGGUGAUGUGGAGCUCAGAACACACAGCCUAAACCCUGUUUUUACCGGAGCAGUUGUUUUGAUCUGUCUUAUAGCUGGGAGAUAAGCAUGAGAUUUCAAGGGAGGAGGGCCAGCUCCCUUCCUAAAGACUUAGAAUGUUUAAAAAAACCUCCCUUGUACAGUUGAAUUUGGUACCUCUUUCCCUGAAACGAGCUAAAGUGAAAUAUCUUACAGAUCCUGACAUACAGUGAGCUAGUUUUAUUUCCAGUUUUCUCUGCUGCUUCUCUCUGAACUAAUGGCUCCCUAUAACUCUUUCUGUGUGCGUUUGACAGCAUUGUUCUCUGAGUAACAGUAACCGUGAGAAGAACAGCUAACAUUUAUUCCAUGCCUACUGUGUGUGCCUUGUCACAUGCUGGGCACCCCAUUAGCCUACUGGACCCUGCUAUCGCCCCGUGAGUGGAUGCUCUCUCUCUUCAGCUCUCACGUGAAGCAGAAACAGCAACAGCAACUUCUUCAGUUCAUUCAGCUGGUAAAUGCUGAACUCAGAACUGCAAGCCAGGCAGUAACUCAGAGGUUGAGUGGACUUGAUGUAUAAUGUCACCUCUAAUGUUUAGUGAACAAGAGAUACGUGUGUAUAAAUGAGAUGUAAAUUAGUUUUGGAUCUUGAAAAGGAAUAUGCUCAAUAGUGAAAAUCUGAAGUUAAAAAAAAAAACAGGAAGAAAAAAUUAUCCAUCAUUUCCCAACUCCAAGACCACCAACUGUUAAUGUGUUAAUGUUUGCACAUAUUUCCUCCCAGUCUAUUUUUAUGUAUAAUUUUUAGCCCUGCAUAUUUAAAGCAGCUCUGAUUGUCUGUGGAUAUUUUAUUUUGCUUUUGUCACUUUGUAUGACAAUAUAAUGUAUGAUGAUGUUUUUCAUAAUAUUUCAAAUUCUCUAUAAUUUUUGCUGGCUAUAUAAUAGUCUUUUAAGUGGAGUAAUCAGGUUGACAAAAAUUUAUUGAGCAUCUAAUAUGUCCCAGAUCCUGUGCUCCACCCUGGGAACACACGGAUAUAUAAAAUUCUGAUUUUUUCCUUUGAGAACUAGCAGUCUAGUGUAGAGCAAAGGUAAGUUGUUAACUAUGUAGUUAUAAUAAUAGCUACCACUGGCUGGGCAUGGUGGCUCAUGCCUGUAAUCCCAGCACUUUGGGAGGCUGAGGCAGGCAGAUCACCUGAGGUUAGGAGUUCAAGACCAGCCUGGCCAACAUGGUGAAACCCCAUCUCUACUAAAA